RNAcentral lists this ribosomal RNA (447 nucleotides) under uncultured bacterium. Its description in RNAcentral is "partial 16S ribosomal RNA". It matches the Rfam family "Bacterial small subunit ribosomal RNA", at positions 29 to 523 of the family's 1533-position model. The record is from RNAcentral.
AACGAACGCUGGCGGCAGGCCUAACACAUGCAAGUCGAGCGCCCCGCAAGGGGAGCGGCGGACGGGUGAGUAACGCGUGGGAACGUUCCCUUUGCUACGGAAUAGCCCCGGGAAACUGGGAGUAAUACCGUAUAAGCCCUACGGGGGAAAGAUUUAGCGGCAAAGGAUCGGCCCGCGUUGGAUUAGGUAGUUGGUGGGGUAAUGGCCUACCAAGCCGACGAUCCAUAGCUGGUUUGAGAGGAUGAUCAGCCACACUGGGACUGAGACACGGCCCAGACUCCCACGGGAGGCAGCAGUGGGGAAUCUUAGACAAUGGGCGCAAGCCUGAUCUAGCCAUGCCGCGUGAGCGAUGAAGGCCUUAGGGUUGUAAAGCUCUUUCGUGGGGGAAGAUAAUGACUGUACCCCAAGAAGAAGCCCCGGCUAACUCCGUGCCAGCAGCCGCCGCCG